GACGAACGCUGGCGGCGUGCUUAACUCAUGCAAGUCGAACGGAAAGGCCUUUUCGGAGGUACUCGAGUGGCGAACGGGUGAGUAACACGUGGGUGAUCUGCCCUGCACUCUGGGAUAAGCCUGGGAAACUGGGUCUAAUACCGGAUAGGACCGCACUUUAGUGUGUGUGGUGGAAAGUUUUUUCGGUGUAGGAUGAGCCCGCGGCCCAUCAGCUUGUUGGUGGGGUAAUGGCCUACCAAGGCGGCGACGGGUAGCCGGACUGAGAGGUUGGUCGGCCACAUUGGGACUGAGAUACGGCCCAGACUCCUACGGGAGGCAGCAGUGGGGAAUAUUGCACAAUGGGCGCAAGCCUGAUGCAGCGACGCCGCGUGGGGGAUGACGGCCUUCGGGUUGUAAACUCCUUUCGCCAGGGACGAAGCGUUUUGUGACGGUACCUGGAGAAGAAGCACCGGCUAACUACGUG
Molecule: ribosomal RNA, 463 nt
Filed under: uncultured bacterium
Lineage: Bacteria
Description: partial 16S ribosomal RNA
Rfam family: Bacterial small subunit ribosomal RNA
Source: RNAcentral